This 292-nucleotide ribosomal RNA is filed under the name uncultured bacterium. RNAcentral describes it as "partial 16S ribosomal RNA". It matches the Rfam family "Bacterial small subunit ribosomal RNA", at positions 505 to 796 of the family's 1533-position model. The record is from RNAcentral.
GUGUCAGCAGCCGCGGUAAUACAGAAGCCUCAAGCGUUGUUCGGAAUUACUGGGCGUAAAGGGAAUGUAGGCGGUGACGUAAGUCAGAUGUGAAAGCCCUGGGCUUAACCCAGGAAGUGCAUUUGAUACUGCGUUGCUAGAGUGCUAGAGAGGAAAGUGGAAUUCCAGGUGUAGGGGUGAAAUCCGUAGAUAUCUGGAGGAAUACCGAUGGCGAAAGCAGCUUUCUGGCUCGUAACUGACGCUGAGAUUCGAAAGCGUGGGGAGCAAACAGGAUUAGAUACCCGGGUAGUCC